UGCCUUACACAUGCAAGUCGAAACGGCAGCACGGGAGCAAUCCUGGUGGCGAGUGGCGAACGGGUGAGUAAUGUAUCGGAACGUACGUUCAGUGGGGAGUAACGUAAGCGAAAGUUACGCUAAUACCGCAUAUUCUGUGUGCAGGAAAGCAGGGGAUCGCAAGACCUUGCGCUGAUUGAGCGGCCGAUAUCAGAUUAGCUAGUUGGUGAGGUAAAGGCUCACCAAGGCGACGAUCUGUAGCGGGGUCUGAGAGGAUGAUCCGCCACACUGGAACUGAGACACGGUCCAGACUCCUACGGGAGGCAGCAGUGGAGAAUUUUGGACAAUGGGGGCAACCCUGAUCCAGCCAUGCCGCGUGAGUGAAGAAGGCCUUCGGGUUGUAAAGCUCUUUCGGCCGGGAAGAAAUCGCAUGGGUUAAUACCCUGUGCGGAUGACGGUACCGGCAUAAGAAGCACCGGCUAACUACGUG
RNAcentral lists this ribosomal RNA (469 nucleotides) under uncultured bacterium. RNAcentral's name for it is "bacterial SSU rRNA". It matches the Rfam family "Bacterial small subunit ribosomal RNA", at positions 45 to 507 of the family's 1533-position model. The record is from RNAcentral.